AGAGUUUGAUCAUGGCUCAGGACGAACGCUGGCGGCGUGCCUAACACAUGCAAGUCGAGCGGGGUCAAAGUUCAACACUGAGUAUUUGGGCAAACGUUGGUUUUGUGACCAGCGUUAUGCAGAAACAACAUUGGAUUUUUAAAAAGUUUCUGCAUCAUGCUAUUUAGUGGAUAACCCAAGCCCAAGUAUUGAGUGUUGAACUUUGACCUAGCGGCGGACGGGUGAGUAACGCGUGAGCAACCUACCUUGCACAGGGGGAUAACACCCGGAAACGGGUGCUAAUACCGCAUAAGACCCCACUAUCGCAUGAUAGAGAGGUCAAAGGGCAUAACCGGUGCAAGAUGGGCUCGCGUCCCAUUAGCUAGUUGGUGAGGUAACGGCUCACCAAGGCGACGAUGGGUAGCCGACCUGAGAGGGUGAUCGGCCACACUGGGACUGAGACACGGCCCAGACUCCUACGGGAGGCAGCAGUGGGGAAUAUUGCGCAAUGGGGGGAACCCUGACGCAGCGACGCCGCGUGAGUGAAGAAGGUCUUCGGAUCGUAAAGCUCUGUCAUCGGGGACGAAGGUAUGACGGUACCCGAAGAGGAAGCCCCGGCUAACUACGUGCCAGCAGCCGCGGUAAUACGUAGGGGGCGAGCGUUGUCCGGAAUUACUGGGCGUAAAGGGUGCGUAGGCGGCCUGAUAAGUCAGGUGUGAAAUACCAGGGCUCAACCCUGGGGGUGCACUUGAAACUGUCGGGCUUGAGUGCA
This 751-nucleotide ribosomal RNA is filed under the name uncultured bacterium. Its description in RNAcentral is "bacterial SSU rRNA". It matches the Rfam family "Bacterial small subunit ribosomal RNA", at positions 8 to 650 of the family's 1533-position model. The record is from RNAcentral.